RNAcentral lists this ribosomal RNA (454 nucleotides) under uncultured bacterium. RNAcentral's name for it is "bacterial SSU rRNA". It matches the Rfam family "Bacterial small subunit ribosomal RNA", at positions 28 to 479 of the family's 1533-position model. The record is from RNAcentral.
GAUGAACGCUGGCGGCGUGCCUAAUACAUGCAAGUCGAACGCUUCACUUCGGUGAAGAGUGGCGAACGGGUGAGUAAUACAUAAGUAACCUGGCAUCUACAGGGGGAUAACUGAUGGAAACGUCAGCUAAGACCGCAUAGGUGUAGAGAUCGCAUGAACUCUAUAUGAAAAGUGCUACGGGACUGGUAGAUGAUGGACUUAUGGCGCAUUAGCUGGUUGGUAGGGUAACGGCCUACCAAGGCGACGAUGCGUAGCCGACCUGAGAGGGUGACCGGCCACACUGGGACUGAGACACGGCCCAGACUCCUACGGGAGGCAGCAGUAGGGAAUUUUCGGCAAUGGGGGAAACCCUGACCGAGCAACGCCGCGUGAAGGAAGAAGUAAUUCGUUAUGUAAACUUCUGUCAUAGAGGAAGAACGGUGGAUAUAGGGAAUGAUAUCCAAGUGACGGUACU